Molecule: ribosomal RNA, 442 nt
Filed under: uncultured bacterium
Lineage: Bacteria
Description: partial 16S ribosomal RNA
Rfam family: Bacterial small subunit ribosomal RNA
Source: RNAcentral
CCUACGGGUGGCAGCAGUGGGGAAUAUUGGGCAAUGGGCGCAAGCCUGACCCAGCAACGCCGCGUGAAGGAAGAAGGCUUUCGGGUCGUAAACUUCUUUGAAGAGGGAAGAGCAGAAGACGGUACCUUUUGAAUAAGCUUCGGCUAACUACGGGCCAGCAGCCGCGGUAAUACGUAGGGAGCGAGCGUUGUCCGGAUUUACUGGGUGUAAAGGGCGUGCAGCCGGGAGUAAAAGUCAGUUGUGAAAUCCCGGGGCUCAACCGCGGAACUGCAUUUGACACUGUAUUUCGUGAGUGCUGGAGAGGCAGACGGAAUUCCUAGUGUAGCGGUGAAAUGCGUAGAUAUUAGGAGGAACACCAGUGGCGAAGGCGGUCUGCUGGACAGCGACUGACGGUGAGGCGCGAAAGCGUGGGGAGCAAACAGGAUUAGAUACCCCAGUAGUC